GUAUCCUAACCGUGCGAAGGUAGCGUAAUCACUUGUCCUUUAAAUGAGGACUGGUAUGAACGGCUUCACGAAGGCUACACUGUCUCCUUUUUCCAAUCAGUAAAACUAAUCUCCCCGUGAAGAAGCGGGGAUUCAUCUAUAAGACGAGAAGACCCUAUGGAGCUUUAAACAAUUGUUUACACUUGCCUUCAAAUUUUUUAUUACAUUUAACCAAGCAUUAUGUUUCUAGUUUUAGGUUGGGGUGACCAUGGAGAAAAACUUAUCCUCCACAUUGAAAGAAAUUCUAUUUCUUAGCAAAAAGUUACAUCUUGAUGCACCAACAAAUUGACCUUAAUUGACCCAAUAAUUUGAUCAACGAACCAAGUUACCCUAGGGAUAACAGCGCAAUCCACUUUAAGAGCUCUUAUCGACAAGUGGGUUUACGACCUCGAUGUUGGAUCAGGGUAUCCUAGUGGUGCAGCCGCUA
This 466-nucleotide ribosomal RNA is filed under the name Mannophryne sp. 1 MGP-2008. Its description in RNAcentral is "partial 16S ribosomal RNA". It matches the Rfam family "Bacterial large subunit ribosomal RNA", at positions 1936 to 2564 of the family's 2925-position model. Lineage: Eukaryota; Metazoa; Chordata; Amphibia; Anura; Aromobatidae. The record is from RNAcentral.